This 383-nucleotide long non-coding RNA is filed under the name Triticum aestivum (bread wheat). RNAcentral describes it as "long non-coding RNA (TAES_LNC007317)". The record is from RNAcentral. Lineage: Eukaryota; Viridiplantae; Streptophyta; Magnoliopsida; Poales; Poaceae.
AAGCUCCAGGGACCGCUUUUCGCCUGCUGAUAGGAGUAUAGAAUUGACACAUAAAUAAAACCUGGAUACAAGAUGGACGCAGACAAACAUAGGCAAACGUCUAAUCAUGCUUGAAAGCAUAUGCACAAAGUUAACCUAUUAGGUAUGCAAGAAGAAUACCCAUCGGCAGUAGCAAGAACCAUGGUAGAACUCCAUGAAAAUUUUCUCAAGGCAAAACAGAUUUCUCUCACACUGAUGUUUGAAAUCCCAUCACAUCAAUUUUGAUUUAAGGAAUUAAAGGCGCGUCUCAACUGAGGCUUCAUAAGCAGCACCCGUUGUCAGAGUGACCCGAAUAGGUGUAGUAAUUCUUUGUGCACCAUUAGUGGUGGGGCUCCAGCAGAAAC